RNAcentral lists this ribosomal RNA (253 nucleotides) under uncultured bacterium. RNAcentral's name for it is "partial 16S ribosomal RNA". It matches the Rfam family "Bacterial small subunit ribosomal RNA", at positions 524 to 776 of the family's 1533-position model. The record is from RNAcentral.
GACGAACCGUACGAACGUUAUUCGGAAUUACUGGGCUUAAAGGGUGCGUAGGCGGCGCAGUAAGUUGGGUGUGAAAUCCCUCGGCUUAACCGAGGAAUUGCGCCCAAAACUACUGUGCUCGAGGGAGAUAGAGGUGAGCGGAACUUAGGGUGGAGCGGUGAAAUGCGUUGAUAUCCUAAGGAACACCGGUGGCGAAAGCGGCUCACUGGAUCUCUUCUGACGCUGAGGCACGAAAGCUAGGGUAGCAAACGGG